AUGUACACGGCUUUCCAGGUGGACGAACAUACGUUCAAGGUGUGUUCUAUCAUGGGCAUGUCGGAUUCAGAACCUGAAGACCCAGACAAGGGAAGGAACUACUUUGUGAAGGCAUCGAUAAGCGAAGGCGAAUACUACUGCCAAUGCUGCAAAUUCGAACGGGACGGGAUUGUGUGCUGUCACAUUCUAAAAGUAGUGGACUUGAACGCGGUGACACGAAUACCCCGCCAUUUCAUAAGGCGGCGAUGGACUUGGGACGAUGACGACGCAUUGGCGCCACAAACAUCAAACGCAGUUUUGGCCGUGCAUGAAGAGAGACCAGAGUCAACCAUGGAAGCCGUGAGGCACGUUGUGUUGACAAAGAACUAUGCUGAACUAAUUGAUGAAGCGUGCAAGAGUGAUGAGACAGCAAAGGUCGCAGAAAAACACAGGAAGGCCCUCAAAAGAGAGCUUGAUGAGAUCAAGAAGAGGAAAGCUGAGGAAGCCUUACACAGGUUCCCCCGCACAUCAAGUGCGCCUUCGUCCACAGGGCCAUCAUCUGAAAACUCAGAGGUAGGAUCUGGAACAACAAGCACACAAACACAGGUUAGGAACCCGCCCCGUUCCAUCACAAAAGGGCGUCCAAAAGAGAUAAGAUACAAAUCGGGAUUGGAGAUUCAAGCAAAACAUAAGAAACCAAAGAAAGGGACGGGCAAUCCGUAA
RNAcentral lists this ribosomal RNA (702 nucleotides) under Triticum aestivum (bread wheat). RNAcentral describes it as "partial small subunit ribosomal RNA". Lineage: Eukaryota; Viridiplantae; Streptophyta; Magnoliopsida; Poales; Poaceae. The record is from RNAcentral.